This 486-nucleotide ribosomal RNA is filed under the name uncultured bacterium. RNAcentral describes it as "partial 16S ribosomal RNA". It matches the Rfam family "Bacterial small subunit ribosomal RNA", at positions 30 to 507 of the family's 1533-position model. The record is from RNAcentral.
AUUGAACGCUGGCGGCAUGCCUUACACAUGCAAGUCGAACGGCAGCACGGGUGCUUGCACCUGGUGGCGAGUGGCGAACGGGUGAGUAAUACAUCGGAACAUGUCCUGUAGUGGGGGAUAGCCCGGCGAAAGCCGGAUUAAUACCGCAUACGAUCUACGGAUGAAAGCGGGGGACCUUCGGGCCUCGCGCUAUAGGGUUGGCCGAUGGCUGAUUAGCUAGUUGGUGGGGUAAAGGCCUACCAAGGCGACGAUCAGUAGCUGGUCUGAGAGGACGACCAGCCACACUGGGACUGAGACACGGCCCAGACUCCUACGGGAGGCAGCAGUGGGGAAUUUUGGACAAUGGGCGAAAGCCUGAUCCAGCAAUGCCGCGUGUGUGAAGAAGGCCUUCGGGUUGUAAAGCACUUUUGUCCGGAAAGAAAUCCUUGGCCCUAAUACGGUCGGGGGAUGACGGUAACGGAAGAAUAAGCACCGGCUAACUACGUG